Molecule: ribosomal RNA, 497 nt
Filed under: uncultured bacterium
Lineage: Bacteria
Description: partial 16S ribosomal RNA
Rfam family: Bacterial small subunit ribosomal RNA
Source: RNAcentral
GAUGAACGCUGGCGGCGUGCCUAAUACAUGCAAGUCGAGCGAACGGACGAGAAGCUUGCUUCUCUGAUGUUAGCGGCGGACGGGUGAGUAACACGUGGAUAACCUACCUAUAAGACUGGGAUAACUUCGGGAAACCGGAGCUAAUACCGGAUAAUAUUUUGAACCGCAUGGUUCAAAAGUGAAAGACGGUCUUGCUGUCACUUAUAGAUGGAUCCGCGCUGCAUUAGCUAGUUGGUAAGGUAACGGCUUACCAAGGCAACGAUGCAUAGCCGACCUGAGAGGGUGAUCGGCCACACUGGAACUGAGACACGGUCCAGACUUCUACGGGAGGCAGCAGUAGGGAAUCCUCCGCAAUGGGCGAAAGCCUGACGGAGCAACGCCGCGUGAGUGAUGAAGGUCUUCGGAUCGUAAAACUCUGUUAUUAGGGAAGAACAUAUGUGUAAGUAACUGUGCACAUCUUGACGGUACCUAAUCAGAAAGCCACGGCUAACUACGUG